AACCGGUCUGGCAUUCGUGAUACAUGCGGUAAGCGGAGUGGUCCAUCUCCAGCUCUUCUCCCGGCUGAAGCGGCUGCAGACCGGGCACAUAGACUUUCUCCUGCCCGUCCCCGUUCUGUUCUUCUCCUUCCAUAUCAUCCUCGUCGCUUUCACUCGCCUCCAUGUCCUCAAACUCAUCCUCCUCCUCCUGCGGCAGCGUGUGUUCGUCGGACGCGGACAUUUUGAGAAAGCGGCGGAUUUCCGCUUCACGCCACGUGGUUUAAAGCGCUCGUCUGACGAGGCCGCUGCUCAUCCACAGUUUCUCCAUUCUCCACUUUCUCUUCCUCCUCUAAUGCCGGAUUUCCUUGAUCAGCUUCACUUGGUGUGGGGAAGAUGCAGGGAUGCUCUCCGAAAGCACAAUCCAAACUGAGCCAUCGCGUGAAGAGGGAUGAGGUUGAGAAUAGAAGACCUUCAGGUGAUGACUCAACAGAUGGAAAAGCAGAGAGAUCUGGAAGUUCUAGGAUUUUCUGUUUACAAAAGAUGACAAAUAACAUUGAAGAUCUCUCAGUAAUCAAUAAUGUAAAUAUGUUGCUACAGCAUUUUAAAAUUAUGCUAUGAUUAUGGUAGGAUAAAAAGGAGAUGCAAAUGUAUGUAGAAUUUAUAUAUGACAGUACCUCUUUUGCUAUGUUGUCCAAUGUGUGCGUCAGCUCGCUGAUGAACCCGUAUUUGAGGUGAACUCUGUUGAGGUGUUGGAGGAGCUGAAGCCAAGAAUGUGACAGGAUUGCAGCAGCACUGAACACACAACACUACACUCACACACACAAAGACACAACAAAUCAAAAUUAGGUCUCGGUAUUUAAUAAAGUUUAUAAAAACUGUCAA
Molecule: long non-coding RNA, 861 nt
Filed under: Danio rerio (zebrafish)
Lineage: Eukaryota; Metazoa; Chordata; Actinopteri; Cypriniformes; Danionidae
Description: si:ch211-149k23.4 (ENSDARG00000095495.4)
Source: RNAcentral